GAUGAACGCUGGCGGCGUGCCUAAUACAUGCAAGUCGAGCGAACGGACGAGAAGCUUGCUUCUCUGAUGUUAGCGGCGGACGGGUGAGUAACACGUGGAUAACCUACCUAUAAGACUGGGAUCACUUCGGGACACCGUAGCUAAUACCGGAUAAUAUUUUGAACCGCAUGGUUCAAAAGUGAAAGACGGUCUUGCUGUCACUUAUAGAUGGAUCCGCGCUGCAUUAGCUAGUUGGUAAGGUAACGGCUUACCAAGGCAACGCUGCAUAGCCGACCUGAGAGGGUGAUCGGCCACACUGGAACUGAGACACGGUCCAGACUCCUACGGGAGGCAGCAGUAGGGAAUCUUCCGCAAUGGGCGAAAGCCUGACGGAGCAACGCCGCGUGAGUGAUGAAGGUCUUCGGAUCGUAAAACUCUGUUAUUAGGGAAGAACAUAUGUGUAAGUAACUGUGCACAUCUUGACGGUACCUAAUCAGAAAGCCACGGCUAACUACGUG
This 497-nucleotide ribosomal RNA is filed under the name uncultured bacterium. RNAcentral describes it as "partial 16S ribosomal RNA". It matches the Rfam family "Bacterial small subunit ribosomal RNA", at positions 28 to 507 of the family's 1533-position model. The record is from RNAcentral.